GAUGAACGCUGGCGGCGUGCUUAACACAUGCAAGUCGAACGGACUUAAGAGGAGCUUGCUCUUCUUAAGUUAGUGGCGGACGGGUGAGUAACGCGUGGGUAACCUGCCCUAUGCAGGAGGAUAACGUUUGGAAACGAACGCUAAUACCGCAUAAACUAUCGAGUUUCGCAUGAAACUUAUAGUAAAGAUUUAUCGGCAUAGGAUGGACCCGCGUUGGAUUAGCUAGUUGGUGAGAUAACAGCCCACCAAGGCAACGAUCCAUAGCCGGCCUGAGAGGGUGAACGGCCACAUUGGGACUGAGACACGGCCCAAACUCCUACGGGAGGCAGCAGUGGGGAAUAUUGCACAAUGGGCGCAAGCCUGAUGCAGCGACGCCGCGUGAAGGAUGAAGGUCUUCGGAUUGUAAACUUCUAUCAGCAGGGAAGAAUAAAUGACGGUACCUGACUAAGAAGCCCCGGCUAACUACGUGCCAGCCGCCGCCGUAA
RNAcentral lists this ribosomal RNA (485 nucleotides) under uncultured bacterium. RNAcentral's name for it is "partial 16S ribosomal RNA". It matches the Rfam family "Bacterial small subunit ribosomal RNA", at positions 28 to 523 of the family's 1533-position model. The record is from RNAcentral.